AUACGGCUGACAAGUCCCAAAUAGAACGAAACGUUCGUCUUGAAU
Molecule: non-coding RNA, 45 nt
Filed under: Schistosoma mansoni
Lineage: Eukaryota; Metazoa; Platyhelminthes; Trematoda; Strigeidida; Schistosomatidae
Source: RNAcentral